UUGCCCUAGUAACGGCGAGUGAAGCGGCAACAGCUCAAAUUUGAAAUCUGGCUCUUUCAGAGUCCGAGUUGUAAUUUGCAGAGGGCGCUUUGGCGUUGGCAGCGGUCCAAGUUCUUUGGAACAGGACGUCACAGAGGGUGAGAAUCCCGUACGUGGUCGCUAACCUUCGCCGUGUAAAGCCCCUUCGACGAGUCGAGUUGUUUGGGAAUGCAGCUCUAAAUGGGAGGUAAAUUUCUUCUAAAGCUAAAUACUGGCCAGAGACCGAUAGCGCACAAGUAGAGUGAUCGAAAGAUGAAAAGCACUUUGGAAAGAGAGUCAAAUAGCACGUGAAAUUGUUGAAAGGGAAGCGCUUGCAGCCAGACUUGCCUGUAGUUGCUUAUCCGGACUUUUGUCCGGUGCACUCUUCUGCAGGCAGGCCAGCAUCAGUUUGGGCGGUUGGAUAAAGGUCUCUGUCACGUACCUCCCUUCGGGGUUGGCCUUAUAGGGGAGACGUCAUGCAACCAGCCUGGACUGAGGUCCGCGCAUCUGCUAGGAUGCUGGCGUAAUGGCUGUAAGCGGCCCGUCUUGAAACACGGACCAAGGAGUCUAACAUCUAUGCGAGUGUUUGGGUGUCAAGCCCAGACGCGUAAUGAAAGUGAACGGAGGUGGGAACCUUUUAGGUGCACCAUCGACCGAUCCUGAUGUCUUCGGAUGGAUUUGAGUAAGAGCAUGGCUGUUGGGACCCGAAAGAUGGUGAACUAUGCUUGAAUAGGGUGAAGCCAGAGGAAACUCUGGUGGAGGCUCGCAGCGGUUCUGACGUGCAAAUCGAUCGUCAAAUUU
This 819-nucleotide ribosomal RNA is filed under the name Wojnowiciella kunmingensis. RNAcentral's name for it is "partial large subunit ribosomal RNA". It matches the Rfam family "Eukaryotic large subunit ribosomal RNA", at positions 75 to 912 of the family's 3401-position model. The record is from RNAcentral. Lineage: Eukaryota; Fungi; Ascomycota; Dothideomycetes; Pleosporales; Phaeosphaeriaceae.